ACUCAAAGGAAUUGACGGGGGCUCACACAAGCGGUGGAGCAUGUUGCUUAAUUCGAGGCAACGCGAAGAACCUUACCUGGGUUUGACAUGGCCGGAUUAGUCCCUGGAAACAGGGAUGACGCCUUCGGGUGGAACGGUCACAGGUGCUGCAUGGCUGUCGUCAGCUCGUGCUGUGAAGUGUCGGGUUAAGUCCCUUAACGAGCGCAACCCCUAUCGUUAGUUGCUAACGGGUCAUGCCGAGUACUCUAGCGAGACUGCCGGUGUCAAACCGGAGGAAGGUGGGGAUGACGUCAAGUCCUCAUGGCCCUUACAUCCAGGGAUGCAAACGUGCUACAAUGGUGCGCACAAAGCGAUGCAAGACAGCGAUGUGGAGCAAAUCGCAAAAAACGCACCCCAGUUCGGAUUGCAGGCUGCAACUCGCCUGCAUGAAGUCGGAAUCGCUAGUAAUCGGAGAUCAGCUACGCUCCGGUGAAUAUGUUCCUGAGCCUUGUACACACCGCCCGU
This 504-nucleotide ribosomal RNA is filed under the name uncultured bacterium. Its description in RNAcentral is "partial 16S ribosomal RNA". It matches the Rfam family "Bacterial small subunit ribosomal RNA", at positions 899 to 1397 of the family's 1533-position model. The record is from RNAcentral.